Molecule: long non-coding RNA, 302 nt
Filed under: Gallus gallus (chicken)
Lineage: Eukaryota; Metazoa; Chordata; Aves; Galliformes; Phasianidae
Description: lncRNA (ENSGALG00010018695.1)
Source: RNAcentral
CUGAACCUCCAAGACUUAUUUCUCAACAACCCAGAGCUCUUGGAGGUCUCCCAUCAAAACGCUAAGCAGGCCCUGCUGCUGCGUGCCUGUGAGACCUCACAAGCGCAGGACAAGGAGGAUGCUGUGCUGUUCAGGGCACUCAAUUUGGAGAAAGAGCCUCCUGGAUUUCCAGCAGGGUGAUGCUGGAUGUGUCCUGCUUCACAUCUCACCCAUAGGUACCAAACACCUCCAUCCCUCUCCCUAAGGCAAAACAACGGCUCCAGCAGCAGGCAGAGGAUAGCACCAGGCAGCAGAGAGCAGCC